Cucurbita pepo subsp. pepo (vegetable marrow) is the source of this 83-nucleotide small nucleolar RNA. RefSeq annotates it as small nucleolar RNA SNORD34. The record is from RefSeq and is a predicted model, not a curated record. Lineage: Eukaryota; Viridiplantae; Streptophyta; Magnoliopsida; Cucurbitales; Cucurbitaceae.
UCAGGCCGGUGAUGACUGAUAUUUUGAUUUGCCUACAUUGUCUGAUAAUCUUAAUGAUUGUGAACAAUCUGCCUGAGGCCUGA